RNAcentral lists this long non-coding RNA (381 nucleotides) under Vitis vinifera (wine grape). RNAcentral's name for it is "long non-coding RNA (VVIN_LNC001516)". The record is from RNAcentral. Lineage: Eukaryota; Viridiplantae; Streptophyta; Magnoliopsida; Vitales; Vitaceae.
AUUCAAUUUCAUAGAAAUAUGAAAAUUGUUGAGAUUUUUUGGUAAACUAAUUAGCGACAUUUCAAAGUUUGGUAAAUCAUAUUAUUCAUAAUCUCUUUCAUAUAUCACAUCAAUUCAAUUUCAUAGAAAUAUCAAAAUUGUUGAAAGGUUUGUUUGGAUGUGUUCACAAAUGAGUUAAAAUCCUUGUAUUUUGGAUGAUAGUUAAGACUUUCAGUUAAACUAAUUAGCAACAUUUCAAAGUUUGGUAAACCAUAUUAUUCAUAGUCUCUUUCAUGUAUCACAUCAAUUCAAGUUCAUAGAAAAUAUGAAAAUUGUUAAGAGGUUUGUUUGGAUGUGUUCACCAAUGAGUCAAAAUCCUUGCAUUUUGAAUGAUAGUUAAGA